This 486-nucleotide ribosomal RNA is filed under the name Ehrlichia canis. RNAcentral's name for it is "bacterial LSU rRNA". It matches the Rfam family "Bacterial large subunit ribosomal RNA", at positions 90 to 598 of the family's 2925-position model. Lineage: Bacteria; Pseudomonadati; Pseudomonadota; Alphaproteobacteria; Rickettsiales; Anaplasmataceae. The record is from RNAcentral.
AGACGAAUUUUGAUCCGCAGAUUUCUGAAUGGGGAAACCCAAUCAAUUUAUUGAUUAUUGCAUAUUGAAUACAUAGAUAUGCAAGGCAAACCUGGUGAACUGAAAUAUCUCAGUAGCUAGAGGAAAGGAAAUCAAAAGAGACUCCGUUAGUAGUGACGAGCGAACACGGACCAGGCCAGUGGUUUAUAAUUAAAAAUUAGAAUACUUUGGAAAGAGUAGCCAUAGAUGGUGAUAGCCCAGUAUAAGUAAAAAAAUUAUAAAUCCUUGAGUAGGACGGGACACGUGAAAUCCUGUUUGAAGAUGGGGGGACCAUCCUCCAAGCCUAAGUACUCCUUAACGACCGAUAGUGGACAAGUACCGUGAGGGAAAGGUGAAAAGAACCCCGGGAGGGGAGUGAAAUAGACCCUGAAAUCGAAUGCUUACAACCAGUUGGAGCCUUAUACUUAUAUUUGUGAGUAAUCACAACCUAUAUUUAUUAAGGUGACA